This 254-nucleotide ribosomal RNA is filed under the name uncultured bacterium. Its description in RNAcentral is "partial 16S ribosomal RNA". It matches the Rfam family "Bacterial small subunit ribosomal RNA", at positions 524 to 776 of the family's 1533-position model. The record is from RNAcentral.
UACGGGGGGAGCAAGCGUUGUUCGGAUUUACUGGGCGUAAAGGGCGCGUAGGCGGUCAGCACAAGUCAGUUGUGAAAUCUCCGAGCUUAACUCGGAAAGGUCAACUGAUACUGUGCGACUAGAGUGCGGAAGGGGCAACUGGAAUUCUUGGUGUAGCGGUGAAAUGCGUAGAUAUCAAGAGGAACACCUGCGGCGAAGGCGGGUUGCUGGGCCGACACUGACGCUGAGGCGCGAAAGCUAGGGGAGCAAACAGG